CGAUUUGCUCACAUGGUUGUGUUUUCACGAAAACCAUUGCUAUGUGAUGUUUGUAUUUAGUUUGAUGAAGCUAUUGAUAUGCGUAUGGUUGAUUUCUGGGCAUGUUGAUUCUUGUUGAUUCUGCAUAUUAUUGAUGAAGGCAUGCUGCUGUUUUGAAACCCUCAUACUGUUUCCAGAAAUCCAGCUCAUAUGUUUUGGUUGCUGUGUGUUACAUGUUGUAUAAGCAUCAGGAGUGUAUUAUCAUGUGGUGUCCAUGUUGUUGUUUGAUUUUUAUUUGUUAAUGAACAUGAGGAUAGUGCCCUGCUGUUUGAAACCCCAUGAAUAUCCCAGGAAAUCCAUGUGAGACAUGGUGUGUGCUGUUGUUUGGGUUGCAGUAUGAACCUUACCAAUGCCAUGAUUAGUUGUAUGUUGUUGAAAUUUCGAUUGAUGAUGAUGUUGGUGAACCAAAUUUCAAACCAUUGCUGCUAAAACCUUGCUGCUG
Molecule: long non-coding RNA, 481 nt
Filed under: Lathyrus oleraceus (garden pea)
Lineage: Eukaryota; Viridiplantae; Streptophyta; Magnoliopsida; Fabales; Fabaceae
Description: Pisum sativum (pea) long non-coding RNA (PSAT_LNC009667)
Source: RNAcentral